GACGUAGGUGGCGAACGUUAAUCGGAAUUACUGGGCGUAAAGCGUGCGCAGGCGGUUUUCCAAGACAGAUGUGAAAUCCCCGGGCUCAACCUGGGAAUGGCAUUUGUGACUGGAAGGCUAGAGUGUGUCAGAGGGGGGUAGAAUUCCACGUGUAGCAGUGAAAUGCGUAGAGAUGUGGAGGAAUACCGAUGGCGAAGGCAGCCCCCUGGGAUAACACUGACGCUCAUGCACGAAAGCGUGGGGAGCAAACAGG
This 253-nucleotide ribosomal RNA is filed under the name uncultured bacterium. RNAcentral describes it as "partial 16S ribosomal RNA". It matches the Rfam family "Bacterial small subunit ribosomal RNA", at positions 524 to 776 of the family's 1533-position model. The record is from RNAcentral.